CGCUGGCGGCGUGCCUAAUACAUGCAAGUCGAACGGUCUUUCUAUGGAAGCUUGCUUCCACUGAGAAGAUAGUGGCGAACGGGUGAGUAACACGUGGGUAACCUGCCCAUAAGAGGGGGGAUAACAUCCGGAAACGGGUGCUAAUACCGCAUAGUUUUCUUGAUCGCAUGAUCGGGAAAGGAAAGACGGCCUUUGUGCUGUCGCUUAUGGAUGGACCCGCGGCGUAUUAGUUAGUUGGUGAGGUAACGGCUCACCAAGACGAUGAUACGUAGCCGACCUGAGAGGGUGAUCGGCCACAUUGGGACUGAGACACGGCCCAAACUCCUACGGGAGGCAGCAGUAGGGAAUCUUCCGCAAUGGACGAAAGUCUGACGGAGCAACGCCGCGUGAGUGAAGAAAAGGUUUUCGGAUCGUAAAACUCUGUUGUCAGAGAAGAACAAGUUGGAGAGUAACUGCUCCAGCCUUGACGGUAUCUGACCAGAAAGCCACGGCUAACUACGUGCCAGCCGCCGC
RNAcentral lists this ribosomal RNA (513 nucleotides) under uncultured bacterium. RNAcentral's name for it is "bacterial SSU rRNA". It matches the Rfam family "Bacterial small subunit ribosomal RNA", at positions 34 to 518 of the family's 1533-position model. The record is from RNAcentral.